This 378-nucleotide ribosomal RNA is filed under the name uncultured eukaryote. RNAcentral's name for it is "partial 18S ribosomal RNA". It matches the Rfam family "Eukaryotic small subunit ribosomal RNA", at positions 592 to 976 of the family's 1831-position model. The record is from RNAcentral.
CAAUAGCGUAUAUUAAAGUUGUUGCAGUUAAAAAGCUCGUAGUUGGAUUUCGGGACGGGCCAGUUGGUCCGCCGCAAGGUGUGUUACUGACUGGUCUGUUCUUCUUCGCAAAGACUGCGUGUGCUCUUCGUUGAGUGUGCGUAGGAUUUACGACGUUUACUUUGAAAAAAUUAGAGUGUUCAAAGCAGGCUAUCGCUUGAAUACAUGAGCAUGGAAUAAUGGAAUAGGACUUUGGUCCUAUUUUGUUGGUUUCUAGGACCGAAGUAAUGAUUAAGAGGGACAAUUGGGGGCAUCCGUAUUUCGUUGUCAGAGGUGAAAUUCUUGGAUUUACGAAAGACGGACAACUGCGAAAGCACUUGCCAAGAGUGUUUUCAUUAA